This is a non-coding RNA of Myotis brandtii (Brandt's bat), 74 nucleotides long. The record is from Rfam. Lineage: Eukaryota; Metazoa; Chordata; Mammalia; Chiroptera; Vespertilionidae.
UGCAGGUCUUGGGUGAUGCACCCCAGAAUCGGGCUCCGCCUCUCUGGUUCUGGGUGCAUAACCCGAGAACCUCA